Monopterus albus (swamp eel) is the source of this 659-nucleotide long non-coding RNA. RefSeq lists it as uncharacterized. The record is from RefSeq and is a predicted model, not a curated record. NCBI's taxonomy places the organism in Eukaryota, Metazoa, Chordata, Actinopteri, Synbranchiformes, Synbranchidae. The transcript has 3 exons.
CUGGAGCUGAAUCACCGCUCUCAGGAGCCACUUGGAAUUCAAAUUUGUGACUAGCUCCUGGGCAGUAUUGUUCAUCAAAAGCCCACUUCCCAUCCAGCACAUAUGCUCGAAGUCUUCCAUGGCAGUGAUAGCAAAGCAUGCACUCUAAAUCCAUAACAAAUCCACUGUAAGCUGCUGCUUUUCACUGAGAGAGAUGUCUGUUCACCAGCUGCGCUCAGAUGGCUGAGAGGGGUAGAUGGGAUGGGUUUUUAUAAAGCGUGCACAACCACCCACGCAGACGUGCAUGCAUACAUACAUGCAUUGAGUCUUGCAGAGUGACCUGCAUCAAAAGGGGUCCAGGACUUUUGUCCUGGAGUUUAAACAAUUCUCCCUGUUCUCUCUUUUUUUUCAUAUCUUUUCAAUGUCUGUGACCAACAUCAGUAGGAAACAGAUGUCCCUUGUUCACAAUUAACUGCAGACAAACAUGGAUUAUGGUCAGUGGUGGUCAGGAAUUUGGCUAUUUUUAUGUUCUAAUCCAAUUAGUGUUUCUGUUUAUUGUGACUAAUGUGAAAAUGAUUAGACUUCAGCUUCUGGCCCAGAGAAUGAGGGUAGUUGAUGGUACAAGAUUUAGGCUACCACGCAAAAUUUUUUAUAAUUUUCGAAACAAUGGCUCAUUGCUU